Molecule: ribosomal RNA, 480 nt
Filed under: uncultured bacterium
Lineage: Bacteria
Description: bacterial SSU rRNA
Rfam family: Bacterial small subunit ribosomal RNA
Source: RNAcentral
AACGAACGCUGGCGGCGGGGUUUAGGCAUGCAAGUCGAGCGAGAAAGGGGCAACCCGAGUAAAGCGGCGUAAGGGUGAGUAAUAGAUAGUUUACGUAUCCUGUUGACGCGGAUAAUUUCCCGAAAGGGAUUGUAAUACGCGAUGAGACCACAUCCGAUCCGUCGGGAGAGGUCAAAGGUUCGGGAUCCUUCGGGACCGAGCGCAAUGGGGAGCGGACGAUCUCCGAUUAGCUUGUUGGCGGGGUAACGGCCCACCAAGGCGAUGAUCGGUAGCCGGCCUGAGAGGGUGUCCGGCCACACUGGGACUGAGACACUGCCCAGACUCCUACGGGAGGCUGCAGUCGCGAAUCAUUCACAAUGGGCGCAAGCCUGAUGAUGCCACGCCGCGUGCGGGAUGAAGGCCCUCUGGGUUGUAAACCGCUGUCACGGGAGGGAACCGCCGGAUGUGAAUAGCAUCCGGUCUGACUGCUCUCGAAAGGAA